Molecule: ribosomal RNA, 250 nt
Filed under: uncultured prokaryote
Description: partial 16S ribosomal RNA
Rfam family: Bacterial small subunit ribosomal RNA
Source: RNAcentral
UACGUAGGUGGCGAGCGUUAUCCGGAAUUACUGGGUGUAAAGGGUGUGUAGGCGGGACAGCAAGUCAGGCGUGAAAACUAUGGGCUUAACUCAUAGCCUGCGUUUGAAACUGUUGUUCUUGAGAGUCGGAGAGGUAAAUGGAAUUCCCAGUGUAGCGGUGAAAUGCGUAGAUAUUGGGAGGAACACCAGUGGCGAAGGCGAUUUACUGGACGACAACUGACGCUGAUACACGAAAGCGUGGGGAGCAAAC